UGGAGCGAAAGCGCGACUGACGGUACUGGCUCCCUUGCGGGGCCAGGGCUGAGGAAGCUCCCAACUACGUGUCGACGCCAGUCCUGUGCGAACAGGGAGGCGAGAACCUCGCUCUGGGAACAGAAACGAUACGUCCGGACAGGACAUGACAAUGAUGCGGAACAGUCUUGGUCCGCUGAGGACCUGCCUAGGAUUGCUGAAACGGCCCAACACUGGGUAGCAACUCCAAGAAUACGCCUAUGACGUGCCGACCUGAGGCGUAGGGUAGGAGGCUUAGUCUGAUGUCGCGGAGUCCUCCACGGUGACGCGGACGGGCACAACAGAAUUGGGGCUACUCUUCGAACCA
RNAcentral lists this RNase P RNA (346 nucleotides) under Candidatus Thorarchaeota archaeon. RNAcentral describes it as "RNase P RNA component". It matches the Rfam family "Archaeal RNase P". Rfam says of the family: Ribonuclease P (RNase P) is a ubiquitous endoribonuclease, found in archaea, bacteria and eukarya as well as chloroplasts and mitochondria. Its best characterised activity is the generation of mature 5'-ends of tRNAs by cleaving the 5'-leader elements of precursor-tRNAs. The record is from RNAcentral. Lineage: Archaea; Promethearchaeati; Candidatus Thorarchaeota.